GACGAACGCUGGCGGCGUGGAUUAGGCAUGCAAGUCGAACGGUAUCAUCCUUUCGGGGGUGAGAGAGUGGCGAACUGGUGAGUAACACGUAGGUUAUCUACCCUCAAGACGGGGACAACCCAGGGAAACUUGGGCUAAUACCGGAUGUGAGCAACUUUUAGUUGUUUGAAGGGUGGCGUAAGCUGUCGCUUGGGGAUGAGCCUGCGUCCUAUUAGUUAGUUGGUGAGGUAACGGCUCACCUAGGCAAUGAUAGGUAGGCGGCCUUAACGGGUGGUCGCCCACACUGGGAUUGAGAUACGGCCCAGACUCCUACGGGAGGCAGCAGUCGAGAAUAGUCUACAAUGGUCGGAAGACUGAUAGUGCGACGCCGCGUGAACGAUGAAUCCCUUCGGGGUGUAAAGUUCUUUUAUAUGUGAGCAGUGCUUCUUAUAUUAACAGUAUGGGGAAGAGAUAUUAGCAUAUGAAUAAGCAACGGCUAAACUCCGUGCCAGCAGCCGCGGUAAUACG
Molecule: ribosomal RNA, 507 nt
Filed under: uncultured bacterium
Lineage: Bacteria
Description: bacterial SSU rRNA
Rfam family: Bacterial small subunit ribosomal RNA
Source: RNAcentral